Molecule: long non-coding RNA, 408 nt
Organism: Homo sapiens (human)
Lineage: Eukaryota; Metazoa; Chordata; Mammalia; Primates; Hominidae
Gene: MACORIS
Product: macrophage enriched lincRNA repressor of IFN-gamma signaling
Source: Ensembl
ACUCUUUGUUCCCCUCCCCAGGGAAAUCCAGUUACCCACUGGGAGUGAGCUGCCCCCUAACCCCGCAUGACCCUGUUCCCCGGGAGGGGCAGCCUGGGGAGUGACAGGCAUGACCUCGAUGGUGGGCCAGGGGCCUCCUCAGAGGAGCAAAGAGAAGCUUGGUGGAAGAGAAAGCCGCUAGUAUUCAGCGAGAAGAUCACUCAAAUCCUUCACCAGCAUGCUCAGUGAAGAAUGCAUUAAAAAAAUUAGACUUUUUUUCUUCCUGGCAACAAAAUCUUGCCAAAAUAAGUACCAAAAUAAGUGUUCCAAUGGUUUUAUUUGGGGAAAGCCAACGCUUUCCCCAAAAAGACUUUUUCUUGUUUCUCAUUUGGCUGCUACAAAUAAAGCUGCAAUGAACAUACAUGUACA